This 254-nucleotide ribosomal RNA is filed under the name uncultured bacterium. RNAcentral's name for it is "partial 16S ribosomal RNA". It matches the Rfam family "Bacterial small subunit ribosomal RNA", at positions 524 to 776 of the family's 1533-position model. The record is from RNAcentral.
UACGUAGGGUGCGAGCGUUAAUCGGAAUUACUGGGCGUAAAGCGUGCGCAGGCGGUUCGCUGUGUCCUGUGUGAAAGCCCCGGGCUUAACCUGGGAAGUGGCAUGGGAAACUGGCGGGCUGGAGUGUGGCAGAGGGGGGUGGAAUUCCGCGUGUAGCAGUGAAAUGCGUAGAGAUGCGGAGGAACACCGAUGGCGAAGGCAGCCCCCUGGGCUAACACUGACGCUCAGGCACGAAAGCGUGGGGAGCAAACAGG